AAAAGGUCGCCUUCCCCUUUAAGGGUGGCCAUUUUGAAUUCUGUUCUCCGCGGCACACCUCCGACUAUCUGGCGGCACGCCGGUGAGCCACAGAAACACUAGUCUAGAGACAGUGCUCGAGGUCUGGACUCAAUGACCUCACAGGGUCCCUUCCAGUUCUAGGAUGCUGUGGUUCGAGAAUUCUAUGACAGCUUCUCAUACAAACUCUUUGCCUCUCCCCUCCACAUACACACCCCUGGGCGUUUUCUUUUUUUUUUUUAAUAAAUCUGAGAGCCCUCCCUACUGGAAGCUGCAGGGCGGGGUUUAUUCCGUGUGAGAGGACUGCUGGAGAGGAUGCACCGUGGGGAGGACCGACUCAGGUGGCGGAGAGCAAAUGAUGCUCCGUCGCGUCACUCGAGCGGGUUUGUAAUGCCAAGUGUCCUAAAAGUACAUUUCGGGAUAAAGAAGAGCCUUGAAUGCCGGUUGGUCAGGGUGAAAUUCACCAGCGGUAAUUUCACCGGCUGUAGCUUAGGGAUUGAUUACAGUCCAGUGUAGCAUAGGAACAAAGUCAAUAAAGCCCAGAGGCCCGGCCCCAGCACCGCGUCGCUGUGGGUCUGGUUGGUGUUUGCGGGGUGCCUUACGGCCGCUGGGCGAGGUGCGGGAUGAGCCAGGCGAUAGCUUGUCUUGGGCCAGCAUCCGUAAGGGAAAGCCAGGAACAAUGUGUGAGCUGCCCCUCAGUAGCUCCGGCAGAGCCCCCGCCCUCUCCCCGUGACUGGCAGGGCUCUCACCCGCCUCCCUGGGAACCGGCAGGGUGCAAUCAGGCCGCAGGAGAGAUGCACGAGAAAGCAAAGAGGCGCCGGGCCGGGUGAAACGGACACGACGCAAAACCAAAGGGAAAAGAAAAGUUAAAAAAGAUUUGACAAGGUGGUGCGCAUCUGCACAUGCCUCGGUGCACGGAUCAACAUUUAUACCGCACAGGAAAGGGGAACAUUGCCUGGGACCCCUCUUGGGCACUGCACUUUCCCACUGAAAGUGAGAAAAGUUCAACAUCACCACCACGGAUUCCCGCCUUGUGCAAAAUCUCUAUAAAGGCAGGAAGCCAAACAAUCGGGGCAGCUGCCAGAUGUAGGACACCCCUGCUGACAACCCAAGAUGCCUGCUGGAACCCUCUAAGACUGAACACCGGGAAGGAUCGGGGAGGCUUCCCAGUCUGCGAAAGACACUGAACUCAGGAGAAACAGUCCAUGUAACCGGUGUCUUAGAGUGGUGAGCGGAGCUGGUGCGUUUUGUUUUAUUUUGCUGAGUAACUUACUUUGCCCAGUGUGCUGCUGCUUAUAGCCACUUUCACCCUGCUUUGUAUACUCUUGUUUAUUAAUAAACCCAGUGUCUGUCACUGUAA
This is a non-coding RNA of Pelodiscus sinensis (Chinese soft-shelled turtle), 1378 nucleotides long. The record is from RefSeq and is a predicted model, not a curated record. Lineage: Eukaryota; Metazoa; Chordata; Testudines; Trionychidae.